UUGAGCCAUAUGCGGGGAAACUCGCACGUACGGUUCCUGGAAGAGAACACGCCGGUAACGGCGUGUCUUCACCGGCUUCGC
Molecule: non-coding RNA, 81 nt
Filed under: Burkholderia vietnamiensis
Lineage: Bacteria; Pseudomonadati; Pseudomonadota; Betaproteobacteria; Burkholderiales; Burkholderiaceae
Source: RNAcentral